Molecule: ribosomal RNA, 292 nt
Filed under: uncultured bacterium
Lineage: Bacteria
Description: partial 16S ribosomal RNA
Rfam family: Bacterial small subunit ribosomal RNA
Source: RNAcentral
GUGUCAGCCGCCGCGGUAAUACAGAGGGUGCAAGCGUUAAUCGGAGUUACUGGGCGUAAAGGGCGCGUAGGCGGUUAUAUGAGUGUGAUGUGAAAGCCCUGGGCUUAACCUAGGAAGUGCAUCGCAAACGAUAUAACUGGAGUAGAUGAGAGGGUGGCGGAAUUUCCGGUGUAGCGGUGAAAUGCGUAGAGAUCGGAAGGAACGUCAAUGGCGAAGGCAGCCACCUGGCAUCAUACUGACGCUGAGGCGCGAGAGCAUGGGGAUCGAACAGGAUUAGAAACCCCCGUAGUCC